This 845-nucleotide ribosomal RNA is filed under the name uncultured Roseateles sp. Its description in RNAcentral is "bacterial SSU rRNA". It matches the Rfam family "Bacterial small subunit ribosomal RNA", at positions 127 to 994 of the family's 1533-position model. Lineage: Bacteria; Pseudomonadati; Pseudomonadota; Betaproteobacteria; Burkholderiales; Sphaerotilaceae. The record is from RNAcentral.
UGCCCGGUCCCCAGGGAUAACUGCUCGAAUGAUCUAUAAUACCGCAUACCACCUGCGGGAGAAAUCCGUGGAUCGCAAGACCUCGCGCGAUUGGAGCGGCCGAUAUCAGAUUAGGUAGUUGGUGAGGUAAACGCUCACCAAGCCGACGAUCUGUAGCUGGUCUGAGAGGACGACCAGCCACACUGGGACUGAGACACGGCCCAGACUCCUACGGGAGGCAGCAGUGGGGAAUUUUGGACAAUGGGCGCAAGCCUGAUCCAGCCAUGCCGCGUGCGGGAAGAAGGCCUUCGGGUUGUAAACCGCUUUUGUCAGGGAAGAAAACGUUCUGGCUAAUACCUGGGACUCAUGACGGUACCUGAAGAAUAAGCACCGGCUAACUACGUGCCAGCAGCCGCGGUAAUACGUCGGGUGCAACCGUUAAUCGAAGUUACUGGGCGUAAAGCGUGCGCAGGCGGUUAUGCAACACAAAUGUGAAAUCCCCGGGCUCAACCUGGGAACUGCCUUUGUGACGCAUGGCUAGAGUACGGUAGAGGGGGAUGGAAUUCCGCGUGUAGCAGUUAAAUGCGUAAUAUGCGGAUGAACACCGAUGGCUAAGGCAAUCCCCUGGACCUGUACUGACGCUCUGCACUAAGCAUGGGGAGCAACGGGAUUAGAUACCCUGUUAUCCACGCCCAAACGAUAUCAACUGAUGUUGGGAGGCUUCUUCUCGUUACGUAGCUAAGCGUCAAUUUACCCCUGGGGAGUACGCCGCAAGUUAAACUCAAAGGAUUGACGGGAACCACACAGGCGCGGAUAUGUGGUUUAAUCGAUGCACACGAAAACCUUACUACCUUGAAGGUCUGGAA